This 723-nucleotide ribosomal RNA is filed under the name uncultured forest soil bacterium. RNAcentral's name for it is "bacterial SSU rRNA". It matches the Rfam family "Bacterial small subunit ribosomal RNA", at positions 64 to 767 of the family's 1533-position model. The record is from RNAcentral.
GAACGAGAAAAUCCGGGUGUAGCAAUACAUCUGGGUGAGUAAAGUGGCGAACGGGUGAGUAACACGUAGCUAACCUGCCCCUGAGUGGGGGAUAACCUGGGGAAACUCGGGCUAAUACCGCAUGACAUUCCGACUUCACAAGGAGAUGGAAUCAAAGGCCCGCAAGGGUCACUCGAGGAGGGGGCUGCGGCCGAUUAGCUAGUUGGCGGGGUAAUGGCCCACCAAGGCGAUGAUCGGUAGCCGGCCUGAGAGGGCGCACGGCCACACUGGCACUGAAACACGGGCCAGACUCCUACGGGAGGCAGCAGUGGGGAAUUUUGCACAAUGCCCGAAAGGGUGAUGCAGCAACGCUGCGUGAGGGAUGAAGGCCUUCGGGUCGUAAACCUCUUUCGAUCGGGAAAAAUGGGCGGGUGAUGAAUCCGUUCUGAUGGUACCGGAAGAAGAAGCCCCGGCUAACUACGUGCCAGCAGCCGCGGUAAUACGUAGGGGGCGAGCGUUGUUCGGAAUUACUGGGCGUAAAGGGCGUGUAGGCGGUGCGAUAAGUUGGGCGUGAAAUCCCCGGGCUUAACCCGGGGCGGUCGUUCAAGACUGUCGUGCUAGAGUGCAGGAGAGGGAAGUGGAAUUCCCGGUGUAGCGGUGAAAUGCGUAGAUAUCGGGAGGAACACCUGCGGCGAAGGCGGCUUCCUGGACUGCAACUGACGCUGAGGCGCGAAAGCUAGGGGA